CAACCUGAUUAUUUCGUAUUCUACCACAAUGCUUAGUAAAGUACUUGACAAAUAGUAACCUCUUAAUAAAUAGUAGUAGUAGUAGUAUCCAUUCAAUUGCAUUUAUUGAGCGCUUACUGUGUGCAGAACACUAAACACACGGGAGAGUACAAUGUUACAAUAAACAGAUGCAUUCACUGCCCACAAUGAGCUCAAAUUACAGAUAUAUACAUAAUUGCUGUGGGGCUGGGAGGGGGGAAGAAUAAAGGGAGCAAGUCAGGGCAAUGCAGAAAGGAGUGGGAGAAGAGGAAAGGAGGGGCUAGUCAGGGAAGGCCUCUUGGAGGAGACGUGCCUUCAAUAAGGCUUUGAAAGUGGGGGAGAAUAAUCGUCAGGAUUAGUAAUAGUAGGCAGGAUCCCUGCCCACAAAGGUUUUACAGUCUAGAAGGAAAGGCAGACAUUAAAAUGAAAUAUAAAUCAGGGGAAAUGGGAAAGUGUACGGAUAUGAACAUAAGAGUUGUGGGUCUGAGAGUGGGGUGAAUAGUAAAUGCUUAAAGGGAACUGUUACUAGUUCACAGGGGGAAGGAUGUAGAGAAAUAAGGACCUACAGUAGGCUCAAUAUCCGCUAUUGAUUGGUUGGUCGGGACGAGGUAAUCAGAUCGAACACAGUCCUCGCCCAACAUGGACCUCACAGUAUAGUUUAUCUGCAGUUUACAGCUGAGGAAUUGGCGCCUGGAGAGGUGAAGUGACUUGCCUGAGAUCACAUAGCGGGUCAGGGGCAGAGCUGGGAUCGGAACCCGGGCGUCCAGACUCCCAGCCCAGAGCGCAAACUAUGAGGCCACACCGCUUCUCUUUAUCCCCACAAAGGCACCUCGGGGACCCGAAGGGCUCGUCUCCUUUGGACCUCCAAUGCCACAUCUCACGCUGGACCCGAGCCGGCUCCCAGAAGGCCCUUCCCGUGGAGAAGCAGCGUGGCCUAACGGAAAGAGCCCGGGCCUGGGAGUCAGAGGAUCUGAGCUCUAAUCCCAACUCCAGUUAUCUGCUGUGUGUCGUAGAGCAAAUCGAUUAAAUCUCUCUGGGCCUCAGUUUCCUCAGCUAUAAAACGGAGGAUUUAAUAUCUCAUCUCCCCUUUGGAAUGAGAAUCCCCGGUGGUAUAGAUGAUUGGGUCUGAUCUGACUGUAUUGUAAUUCCCCCCUAAAGCGCUUAGUUGUAUCUUUUGAUGGUAGUUAAGUGCUUUCUAUGCGUCAAGCACUGUGCUAAACGCUGGAGUAGAUACAAAUUUAUCAGGUUGGACCCAGUACUUUCUCACACGGGACUCAUAGUCCUUGGCAUAUAGUAAGUGCUUAAUCAACACCACAUUUAUUAUUACAAUUGAGAUAAUAACAACGGUAUUUGUUAAGUGCUUAUUAUUUGCCCCACACUGUACUUAUUAUUAGGGAAGCAGCGUAGCCUAGUGGCUUGGAGUCAGAGGACAUGGGUUCUAAUCCCGCCGCCUCCGCAACUUGUCUGCUAUGUGACCUUGGACAAGCCACUUAACUUCUCUGUGCCUCAGUGACCUCCUCUGUAAAAUGGGGAUUCAGACUGUGAGCCUCAUAUGGGCAAUCAUGACAUUAUCUUGUAUCUACCCCAGCUUUAGAACAGUGCUUGGCAUAUAGUAAGUGCUUAACAAAUA
Molecule: long non-coding RNA, 1648 nt
Filed under: Ornithorhynchus anatinus (platypus)
Lineage: Eukaryota; Metazoa; Chordata; Mammalia; Monotremata; Ornithorhynchidae
Description: lncRNA (ENSOANG00000043194.1)
Source: RNAcentral